AUUCCUACGGGAGGCAGCAGUGGGGAAUAUUGCACAAUGGGGGAAACCCUGAUGCAGCGACGCCGCGUGGAGGAAGAAGGUCUUCGGAUUGUAAACUCCUGUUGUUGAGGAAGAUAAUGACGGUACUCAACAAGGAAGUGACGGCUAACUACGUGCCAGCAGCCGCGGUAAAACGUAGGUCACAAGCGUUGUCCGGAAUUACUGGGUGUAAAGGGAGCGCAGGCGGGCGAUCAAGUUGGAAGUGAAAUCCAUGGGCUCAACCCAUGAACUGCUUUCAAAACUGAUUGUCUUGAGUAGUGCAGAGGUAGGCGGAAUUCCCGGUGUAGCGGUGGAAUGCGUAGAUAUCGGGAGGAACACCAGUGGCGAAGGCGGCCUACUGGGCACCAACUGACGCUGAGGCUCGAAAGUGUGGGUAGCAAACAGGAUUAGAUACCCUGGUAGUCCACACCGUAAACGAUGAUUACUAGGUGUUGGAGGAUUGACCCCUUCAGUGCCGCAGUUAACACAAUAAGUAAUCCACCUGGGGAGUAC
This 531-nucleotide ribosomal RNA is filed under the name uncultured bacterium. RNAcentral's name for it is "bacterial SSU rRNA". It matches the Rfam family "Bacterial small subunit ribosomal RNA", at positions 335 to 883 of the family's 1533-position model. The record is from RNAcentral.